GGCACGAAGCGGAUAUCCA
Molecule: small nuclear RNA, 19 nt
Filed under: Arabidopsis thaliana (thale cress)
Lineage: Eukaryota; Viridiplantae; Streptophyta; Magnoliopsida; Brassicales; Brassicaceae
Description: snRNA_00253
Source: RNAcentral